RNAcentral lists this ribosomal RNA (484 nucleotides) under uncultured bacterium. RNAcentral describes it as "partial 16S ribosomal RNA". It matches the Rfam family "Bacterial small subunit ribosomal RNA", at positions 29 to 507 of the family's 1533-position model. The record is from RNAcentral.
AUUGAACGCUGGCGGCAUGCUUUACACAUGCAAGUCGAACGGCAGCGCGGGCUUCGGCCUGGCGGCGAGUGGCGAACGGGUGAGUAAUACAUCGGAACGUGCCCAGUAGUGGGGGAUAGCUCGGCGAAAGCCGGAUUAAUACCGCAUACGACCUGAGGGUGAAAGCGGGGGAUCUUCGGACCUCGCGCUAUUGGAGCGGCCGAUGGCAGAUUAGCUAGUUGGUGGGGUAAAGGCCUACCAAGGCGACGAUCUGUAGCUGGUCUGAGAGGACGACCAGCCACACUGGGACUGAGACACGGCCCAGACUCCUACGGGAGGCAGCAGUGGGGAAUUUUGGACAAUGAGCGAAAGCCUGAUCCAGCAAUGCCGCGUGUGUGAUGAAGGCCUUCGGGUUGUAAAGCACUUUUGGCGGGAACGAAAAGGACUGUGCCAAUACCACGGUUCGAUGACGGUACCCGCAGAAUAAGCACCGGCUAACUACGUG